GUAGGUGAACCUGCGGAAGGAUCAUUAACACGUAUCCAACGUUAAACCCCCCUGUGAACUUUCAGCCUGCUCUUGUGGCUUGUAGGGUUAAGCAGCAAUCUCGGUAAAUCAUGGGAGAAAAAGUUCUGAUUCGAGACCUCUGGACCCUAUGGGUUAUGAUUGAAGCGGUAGAAGCAGUGGCAUGGCGUCCCAAGCCUCCAGUGAAUGACAGCGUCAGGGAUAACGCUUAUUCGGUUGCUAGAGGUCGCUCACCGACCGGCAGACAUGUCACAGGGCCUUGCGCCCCCUAACCACCCCUUUCAAUGCACUAGCCCGGGGCGAAAGUCCGAGGCAUUAAAAAAACCGAACAACUGUUAACAAUGGAUAUCUUGGUUCUC
RNAcentral lists this unclassified non-coding RNA (377 nucleotides) under rhizosphere metagenome. RNAcentral describes it as "partial ribosomal RNA internal transcribed spacer region". The record is from RNAcentral.